CCUUUCUUAUGCCUGGAAUCAGAGUCUGUUGGAUCUCUUCCAGUUUCUGUGCCCGCUUUCUGUUUGUCAAAGCUGUUUCUGGGUAUGUCACCCUUUAAUAGACCAGCCUAGGCCAAUCCUCAGACGGUAACCAUGCGGCCAUCUUGGGGGACAUGUUCACCGUGACGUCAUAAACAACCUCAGAAGGCUAAGUUGUCCUGACAACCUCCAAGCACACAGAGAUUCAGAGCCAUCUCAGACCAGUCUGACUCCUCCCCCUUUCCAGAUUUACAUCCUCAUCGAUUUAGACUUCCGUGUAGGUGACAUCCUCUUCACCAGCGUAAGCCGAAUCACAGGCCCUCACCACACACUUGUGCCUCAUCAUCUCUUUCACCCUCCCCCACCACCCGCUUUGCCUCUGGGCACCCCCAAUCAAAUGUCCAGCGCCACCUGUUGGUUAGUGCUUCUUUUUUCUUCUCCUUGAAAGUGAGAUCCUACGGUAUUUGACUAUGUCCCUGGGGCCUGUUUCACUUCCCCUAAAACCCUCCCAGCCGUUCUGGUGGUCACAAAUGGCUGGAUUGCAUCCUUUGUUCCCGCUGAGUGGUAUGCCAUUGUGUGGCUAUAGCCCAUGUUCCUUCUCCAUUCUUCCCUUGCUGGGCACCAGGGCGGCUUCCAAGUCUUGGAGAGCGGGAGUAAGGCUGUGGUGAACUCAGCGGUGCACAUGUCUUUAGGCGGUUGUGUUUCCGAGUUCUUUGGCUAAACACGCCCCCGAGGAAUAGCUGGAUCCUAUGGGACAUGGAUUCUUAAAUUUCUGAGGCAGUUCUACACCCCCUCGGACGCCUGCCCCAGAAUGACUGAAGCAGUGGUGAGGAGGCUCACCCCCAGGAUUCCACCCGGCCCACCCCGGGCCACCGACCCAGAAG
This 902-nucleotide long non-coding RNA is filed under the name Equus caballus (horse). RNAcentral's name for it is "lncRNA (ENSECAG00000045446.1)". Lineage: Eukaryota; Metazoa; Chordata; Mammalia; Perissodactyla; Equidae. The record is from RNAcentral.